UCCGUAGGUGAACCUGCGGAAGGAUCAUUAUUGAAUGAAUGUAGAGUUGUGUUGUCGCUGGCUGGAUCGGAUUAAUUUCUGUUUCAGCAUGUGCACGCCUUCUCUUUCAUCCACACACACCUGUGCACUUGUGAGACUGGGGACUGUAAAAAGUCUUCAGUCUACUUAAAUAUACAAACUCCAUUUUAAUUAAACUGAAUGUAAUUGAUGUAACGCAUCAUUAGAACUAAGUUUCAACAACGGAUCUCUUGGCUCUCGCAUCGAUGAAGAACGCAGCGAAAUGCGAUAAGUAAUGUGAAUUGCAGAAUUCAGUGAAUCAUCGAAUCUUUGAACGCACCUUGCGCUCCUUGGUAUUCCUUGGAGCAUGCCUGUUUGAGUAUCAUGAAAUUCUCAAAGUCAAUCCUUUUUGUUAAUUCAAUUGGUAUUGCUUUGGACUUGGAGGUCUUUGCAGAUGUCACAGUCUGCUCCUCUUAAAUUUAUUAGCUGGAUCUCAGUAUAACACUUGGUUCCACUCGGCGUGAUAAGUAUCAUUCGCUGAGGACACUGUAAAAGGUGGCCAGGAAAUUUACAGAUGAACCGCUUCUAAUAGUCCAUUUACUUGGACAAUUUACUUUAUGAUCUGAUCUCAAAUCAGGUAGGACUACCCGCUGAACUUAAGCAUAUCAAUAAGCGGAGGA
Molecule: ribosomal RNA, 677 nt
Filed under: uncultured Rhizoctonia
Lineage: Eukaryota; Fungi; Basidiomycota
Description: eukaryotic LSU rRNA
Rfam family: 5.8S ribosomal RNA (bases 229-382)
Source: RNAcentral